GACGAACGCUGGCGGCGUGCUUAACACAUGCAAGUCGAACGAUGAAGCCGGAGCUUGCUCCGGUGGAUUAGUGGCGAACGGGUGAGUAACACGUGAGCAAUCUGCCCUUGACUCUGGGAUAACUGCGGGAAACUGUAGCUAAUACCGGAUACGACACCUUGGGGCAUCCCAGGGUGUGGAAAGAAUUUCGGUCAAGGAUGAGCUCGCGGCCUAUCGGCUAGUUGGUGAGGUAAUGGCUCACCAAGGCGACGACGGGUAGCCGGCCUGAGAGGGUGACCGGCCACACUGGAACUGAGACACGGUCCAGACUCCUACGGGAGGCAGCAGUGGGGAAUAUUGCACAUGGAGGAAACUCUGAUCGAGUGACGCCGCGUGGAGGAAGAAGGGCUUCGGCCUGUAAACUCCUUUUCCCUGGGAGAAACUCAUGAUCGUACCAGGGGGAUAAGGGACUGCUAAAUUUGUGCCAGCCGCCGCGGUAA
This 479-nucleotide ribosomal RNA is filed under the name uncultured bacterium. RNAcentral describes it as "partial 16S ribosomal RNA". It matches the Rfam family "Bacterial small subunit ribosomal RNA", at positions 28 to 523 of the family's 1533-position model. The record is from RNAcentral.